This 497-nucleotide ribosomal RNA is filed under the name uncultured bacterium. RNAcentral's name for it is "partial 16S ribosomal RNA". It matches the Rfam family "Bacterial small subunit ribosomal RNA", at positions 28 to 507 of the family's 1533-position model. The record is from RNAcentral.
GAUGAACGCUGGCGGCGUGCCUAAUACAUGCAAGUCGAGCGAACGGACGAGAAGCUUGCUUCUCUGAUGUUAGCGGCGGACGGGUGAGUAACACGUGGAUAACCUACCUAUAAGACUGGGAUAACUUCGGGAAACCGGAGCUAAUACCGGAUGAUAUUUUGAACCGCAUGGUUCAAAAGUGAAAGACGGUCUUGCUGUCACUUAUAGAUGGAUCCGCGCUGCAUUAGCUAGUUGGUAAGGUAACGGCUUACCAAGGCAACGAUGCAUAGCCGACCUGAGAGGGUGAUCGGCCACACUGGAACUGAGACACGGUCCAGACUCCUACGGGAGGCAGCAGUAUGGAAUCUUCCGCAAUGGGCGAAAGCCUGACGGAGCAACGCCGCGUGAGUGAUGAAGGUCUUCGGAUCGUAAAACUCUGUUAUUAGGGAAGAACAUAUGUGUAAGUAACUGUGCACAUCUUGACGGUACCUAAUCAGAAAGCCACGGCUAACUACGUG